Molecule: long non-coding RNA, 3204 nt
Organism: Spodoptera frugiperda (fall armyworm)
Lineage: Eukaryota; Metazoa; Arthropoda; Insecta; Lepidoptera; Noctuidae
Exons: 3
Source: RefSeq, a predicted model, not a curated record
UCAUGAGCUAAUGUUCACAUGUAAACAGCAGCUCAUGUAGUGUAGAUGUCCAGUCAACAAGCAUGUAGCGUAGACUGUCCAGGCGACACACGUACUUAGGUAUCGUCAUGAGCUAAUGUUCACAUGUAAACAGCAGCUCAUGUAGUGUAGAUGUCCAGUCAACAAGCAUGUAGCGUAGACUGUCCAGGCGACACACGUACUUAGGUAUCGUCAUGAGCUAAUGUUCACAUGUAAACAGCAGCUCAUGUAGUGUAGAUGUCCAGUCAACAAGCAUGUAGCGUAGACUGUCCAGGCGACACACGUACUUAGGUAUCGUCAUGAGCUAAUGUUCACAUGUAAACAGCAGCUCAUGUAGUGUAGAUGUCCAGUCAACAAGCAUGUAGCGUAGACUGUCCAGGCGACACACGUACUUAGGUAUCGUCAUGAGCUAAUGUUCACAUGUAAACAGCAGCUCAUGUAGUGUAGAUGUCCAGUCAACAAGCAUGUAGCGUAGACUGUCCAGGCGACACACGUACUUAGGUAUCGUCAUGAGCUAAUGUUCACAUGUAAACAGCAGCUCAUGUAGUGUAGAUGUCCAGUCAACAAGCAUGUAGCGUAGACUGUCCAGGCGACACACGUACUUAGGUAUCGUCAUGAGCUAAUGUUCACAUGUAAACAGCAGCUCAUGUAGUGCAGAGAUUGUCCAGUCAACAAGGAUGUAGCGUAGACUGUCCAGGCGACACACGUACUUAGGUAUCGUCAUGAGCUAAUGUUCACAUGUAAACAGCAGCUCAUGUAGUGCAGAGAUUGUCCAGUCAACAAGGAUGUAGCGUAGACUGUCCAGGCGACACACGUACUUAGGUAUCGUCAUGAGCUAAUGUUCACAUGUAAACAGCAGCUCAUGUAGUGCAGAGAUUGUCCAGUCAACAAGGAUGUAGCGUAGACUGUCCAGGCGACACACGUACUUAGGUAUCGUCAUGAGCUAAUGUUCACAUGUAAACAGCAGCUCAUGUAGUGCAGAGAUUGUCCAGUCAACAAGGAUGUAGCGUAGACUGUCCAGGCGACACACGUACUUAGGUAUCGUCAUGAGCUAAUGUUCACAUGUAAACAGCAGCUCAUGUAGUGCAGAGAUUGUCCAGUCAACAAGGAUGUAGCGUAGACUGUCCAGGCGACACACGUACUUAGGUAUCGUCAUGAGCUAAUGUUCACAUGUAAACAGCAGCUCAUGUAGUGCAGAGAUUGUCCAGUCAACAAGGAUGUAGCGUAGACUGUCCAGGCGACACACGUACUUAGGUAUCGUCAUGAGCUAAUGUUCACAUGUAAACAGCAGCUCAUGUAGUGCAGAGAUUGUCCAGUCAACAAGGAUGUAGCGUAGACUGUCCAGGCGACACACGUACUUAGGUAUCGUCAUGAGCUAAUGUUCACAUGUAAACAGCAGCUCAUGUAGUGCAGAGAUUGUCCAGUCAACAAGGAUGUAGCGUAGACUGUCCAGGCGACACACGUACUUAGGUAUCGUCAUGAGCUAAUGUUCACAUGUAAACAGCAGCUCAUGUAGUGCAGAGAUUGUCCAGUCAACAAGGAUGUAGCGUAGACUGUCCAGGCGACACACGUACUUAGGUAUCGUCAUGAGCUAAUGUUCACAUGUAAACAGCAGCUCAUGUAGUGCAGAGAUUGUCCAGUCAACAAGGAUGUAGCGUAGACUGUCCAGGCGACACACGUACUUAGGUAUCGUCAUGAGCUAAUGUUCACAUGUAAACAGCAGCUCAUGUAGUGCAGAGAUUGUCCAGUCAACAAGGAUGUAGCGUAGACUGUCCAGGCGACACACGUACUUAGGUAUCGUCAUGAGCUAAUGUUCACAUGUAAACAGCAGCUCAUGUAGUGCAGAGAUUGUCCAGUCAACAAGGAUGUAGCGUAGACUGUCCAGGCGACACACGUACUUAGGUAUCGUCAUGAGCUAAUGUUCACAUGUAAACAGCAGCUCAUGUAGUGCAGAGAUUGUCCAGUCAACAAGGAUGUAGCGUAGACUGUCCAGGCGACACACGUACUUAGGUAUCGUCAUGAGCUAAUGUUCACAUGUAAACAGCAGCUCAUGUAGUGCAGAGAUUGUCCAGUCAACAAGGAUGUAGCGUAGACUGUCCAGGCGACACACGUACUUAGGUAUCGUCAUGAGCUAAUGUUCACAUGUAAACAGCAGCUCAUGUAGUGCAGAGAUUGUCCAGUCAACAAGGAUGUAGCGUAGACUGUCCAGGCGACACACGUACUUAGGUAUCGUCAUGAGCUAAUGUUCACAUGUAAACAGCAGCUCAUGUAGUGCAGAGAUUGUCCAGUCAACAAGGAUGUAGCGUAGACUGUCCAGGCGACACACGUACUUAGGUAUCGUCAUGAGCUAAUGUUCACAUGUAAACAGCAGCUCAUGUAGUGCAGAGAUUGUCCAGUCAACAAGGAUGUAGCGUAGACUGUCCAGGCGACACACGUACUUAGGUAUCGUCAUGAGCUAAUGUUCACAUGUAAACAGCAGCUCAUGUAGUGCAGAGAUUGUCCAGUCAACAAGGAUGUAGCGUAGACUGUCCAGGCGACACACGUACUUAGGUAUCGUCAUGAGCUAAUGUUCACAUGUAAACAGCAGCUCAUGUAGUGUAGAUGUCCAGUCAACAAGGAUGUAGCGUAGACUGUCCAGGCGACACACGUACUUAGGUAUCGUCAUGAGCUAAUGUUCACAUGUAAACAGCAGCUCAUGUAGUGUAGAUGUCCAGUCAACAAGGAUGUAGCGUAGACUGUCCAGGCGACACACGUACUUAGGUAUCGUCAUGAGCUAAUGUUCACAUGUAAACAGCAGCUCAUGUAGUGUAGAUGUCCAGUCAACAAGGAUGUAGCGUAGACUGUCCAGGCGACACACGUACUUAGGUAUCGUCAUGAGCUAAUGUUCACAUGUAAACAGCAGCUCAUGUAGUGUAGAUGUCCAGUCAACAAGGAUGUAGCGUAGACUGUCCAGGCGACACACGUACUUAGGUAUCGUCAUGAGCUAAUGUUCACAUGUAAACAGCAGCUCAUGUAGUGCAGAGAUUGUCCAGUCAACAAGGAUGUAGCGUAGACUGUCCAGGCGACACACGUACUUAGGUAUCGUCAUGAGCUAAUGUUCACAUGUAAACAGCAGCUCAUGUAGUGCAGAGAUUGUCCAGUCAACAAGGAUGUAGCGUAGACUGUCCAGGCGACACACGUACUUAG